RNAcentral lists this ribosomal RNA (253 nucleotides) under uncultured bacterium. RNAcentral's name for it is "partial 16S ribosomal RNA". It matches the Rfam family "Bacterial small subunit ribosomal RNA", at positions 524 to 776 of the family's 1533-position model. The record is from RNAcentral.
UACGUAGGUGGCGAGCGUUGUCCGGAUUUAUUGGGUUUAAAGGGUGCGUAGGCGGCCCUAUAAGUCAGUGCUGAAAUAUCCCGGCUUAACCGGGAGGGUGGCAUUGAUACUGUAGGGCUUGAGUAAAGUUGAGGUUGGCGGAAUUGACGGUGUAGCGGUGAAAUGCUUAGAUAUCGUCAAGAACACCUAUUGCGAAGGCAGCUAACUAAGCUUUAACUGACGCUGAGGCACGAAAGUGUGGGGACCAAACAGG